GACGAACGCUGGCGGCGUGCUUAAAACAUGCAAGUCGAACGGACUUCUCAUGAAGCUUGCGAUUGAGAAGUUAGUGGCGGACGGGUGAGUAACGCGUGGGCAACCUGCCCCUGAGCCCGGGAUAACAGUUCGAAAGGACUGCUAAGACCGGAUAUACUUGCGGGGAAGCAUUUUCUCUGUAAGGAAAGGGAACGCUCAGGGAUGGGCCCGCGUCCCAUUAGCUAGUUGGUGAGGUAACGGCCCACCAAGGCGACGAUGGGUAGCCGGCCUGAGAGGGUGAACGGCCACACUGGGACUGAGACACGGCCCAGACUCCUACGGGAGGCAGCAGUUGGGAAUCUUCGGCAAUGGGCGCAAGCCUGACCGAGCAACGCCGCGUGAGUGAUGAAGGUUUUCGGAUUGUAAAGCUCUGUCUUCCGGGACGAUAAUGACGGUACCGGAGGAGGAAGCCACGGCUAACUACGUG
Molecule: ribosomal RNA, 466 nt
Filed under: uncultured bacterium
Lineage: Bacteria
Description: bacterial SSU rRNA
Rfam family: Bacterial small subunit ribosomal RNA
Source: RNAcentral